CAGGGAAUAGUUUAAAAUAGAACAUCAGCUUUGGGAGUUGAAGGCAGGAUAUGGUAUCUUUUCCCUGA
RNAcentral lists this transfer RNA (68 nucleotides) under Tamias umbrinus (Uinta chipmunk). RNAcentral describes it as "tRNA-Pro". It matches the Rfam family "tRNA". From Rfam's summary of the family: Transfer RNA (tRNA) molecules are approximately 80 nucleotides in length. Their secondary structure includes four short double-helical elements and three loops (D, anti-codon, and T loops). The record is from RNAcentral. Lineage: Eukaryota; Metazoa; Chordata; Mammalia; Rodentia; Sciuridae.